Molecule: long non-coding RNA, 406 nt
Filed under: Neogale vison (American mink)
Lineage: Eukaryota; Metazoa; Chordata; Mammalia; Carnivora; Mustelidae
Description: Neovison vison (American mink) lncRNA (ENSNVIG00000008134.1)
Source: RNAcentral
CAGAUGAGCCUUCUAAAACACAGAGAGGUUAAGUACUAUGACUGUAUCACACAGCCUGUACCUACGACAGCUGAGAUUUGUACUUGGCCACAUCUCCAAAGACACUCUUGGCUCCUCUAUCACAGACAAGAGAAAAGAAAACCAGAAAGUAAUAAAGGACUUGAAGAAGUAUAUUCCUCAAGCUUGGAAGCCCCACACAGGCAGUCCCUGUUGUCCUGCUCAAAGAGGGACCCACCCAGGGGGAAGACAAGCUGUGCUCCUUGAUGCCAGCCUGGAAGUGGGUGGAGCCAUCGUCCACCCAGGGCACAUCCUUCAUCUGGUCACCAGACAAGAGAGGCUCACUCAGGUGGCUCAGGAAAAGUGUCUGUUUAAUAAGGUGGGUCUGUUUGUGAAACCUUGGGAUGGG